UGGUGUUUCAAGCCCCCAACAUCGUCUUCCAGGCAGCACUGCAUGGAAGACACUAGGGUUAGGAUUAAGGUUAGGGUUAGGUGCCUUGAAGUCAGGCGGUGGGAGUGCUGACUGA
Molecule: long non-coding RNA, 115 nt
Organism: Alosa sapidissima (American shad)
Lineage: Eukaryota; Metazoa; Chordata; Actinopteri; Clupeiformes; Clupeidae
Exons: 3
Source: RefSeq, a predicted model, not a curated record